This 496-nucleotide ribosomal RNA is filed under the name uncultured bacterium. RNAcentral describes it as "bacterial SSU rRNA". It matches the Rfam family "Bacterial small subunit ribosomal RNA", at positions 28 to 509 of the family's 1533-position model. The record is from RNAcentral.
GACGAACGCUGGCGGCGUGGAUUAGGCAUGCAAGUCGGACGGUAGAGCUUUAUCGUAAGAUAGAGUUUGAGAGUGGCGAACGGGUGAGUAACACGUAGGAAUCUACCCUUAAGACGGGGACAACCCAGGGAAACUUGGGCUAAUACCGGAUGAGAGUGCGAGAGAUUGCAUUUAAAAGGAUGGCGAAAGUUGUCGCUUAGGGAUGAGCCUGCGGUCUAUUAGUUAGUUGGUGAGGUAAGAGCUCACCAAGGCGAUGAUAGAUAGGCGGCCUUAACGGGUGGUCGCCCACACUGGGAUUGAGAUACGGCCCAGACUCCUACGGGAGGCAGCAGUCGAGAAUAGUCUACAAUGGUCGGAAGACUGAUAGUGCGACGCCGCGUGAACGAUGAAUCCCUUCGGGGUGUAAAGUUCUUUUAUAUGUGAGCAGUGCUUCUUAUAUUAACAGUAUGGGGAGAGAGAUAUUAGCAUAUGAAUAAGCAACGGCUAACUCCGUGCC